This 489-nucleotide ribosomal RNA is filed under the name Chloroflexota bacterium. RNAcentral describes it as "bacterial SSU rRNA". It matches the Rfam family "Bacterial small subunit ribosomal RNA", at positions 996 to 1522 of the family's 1533-position model. The record is from RNAcentral. Lineage: Bacteria; Bacillati; Chloroflexota.
GCAGAAUGAAGGUCGGGCUGAAGACCUUACCAGACGAGCUGAGAGGAGGUGCAUGGCCGUCGCCAGCUCGUGCCGUGAGGUAAUAUUAUUACAUUCUAGGUGUAGCCCCGCUUCCUCUUUGUUAUAAUAGUAAGUUGGGACUAGGGCAAGUCAUUAUGACCCUUAUGGGCUGGGCUACGUAUGUGCUACAUUGGGAUUUACAAGACGUAGCGCAAGCUAAACGUUUAAAAUGUCCUAUGGUGCAGAUUCAGCCCUGUAACUCGGGUUGAUGAAGGAGGAAUCGCUAGUAAUCGUGCAUGAGUACGGCAUGGUGAAUUCUCCAUCAGGUUUCGUACACACCGCCCGUCACACGCUGGGAGUCGUCUGUGCCGGAAGGAAACUCUGGGGUAUACAGGUGCAGGGCGUCGUGUACUACUGGAAUUCCGCUGGUAUGGGUGGUAACUGGGGUGAAGUCGUAACAAGGUGGCCGUAGGGGAACCUGUGGCUGGA